This 253-nucleotide ribosomal RNA is filed under the name uncultured bacterium. Its description in RNAcentral is "partial 16S ribosomal RNA". It matches the Rfam family "Bacterial small subunit ribosomal RNA", at positions 524 to 776 of the family's 1533-position model. The record is from RNAcentral.
UACAGAGGGUGCAAACGUUGCUCGGAAUUACUGGGCGUAAAGCGCGUGUAGGCGGUUUCGCGAGUCCGAUGUGAAAGCCCGGGGCUCAACCCCGGAAGUGCAUUGGAUACUACGAAGCUUGAGUGCUGGAGAGGAAAGCGGAAUUCCCGGUGUAGAGGUGAAAUUCGUAGAUAUCGGGAGGAACACCAGUGGCGAAGGCGGCUUUCUGGACAGACACUGACGCUGAGGCACGAGAGCGUGGGGAGCAAACAGG